RNAcentral lists this ribosomal RNA (440 nucleotides) under uncultured bacterium. RNAcentral's name for it is "partial 16S ribosomal RNA". It matches the Rfam family "Bacterial small subunit ribosomal RNA", at positions 338 to 795 of the family's 1533-position model. The record is from RNAcentral.
CCUACGGGCGGCAGCAGUGGGGAAUAUUGCACAAUGGGGGAAACCCUGAUGCAGCGACGCCGCGUGAGUGAAGAAGUAUUUCGGUACGUAAAGUUCUAUCAGCAGGGAAGAAAAUGACGGUACCUGACUAAGAAGCCCCGGCUAACUACGUGCCAGCAGCCGCGGUAAUACGUAGGGGGCAAGCGUUAUCCGGAUUUACUGGGUGUAAAGGGAGCGUAGACGGCAGCGCAAGUCUGGAGUGAAAUCCCAUGGCUUAACCAUGGAACUGCUUUGGAAACUGUGCAGCUAGAGUGCAGGAGAGGUAAGCGGAAUUCCUAGUGUAGCGGUGAAAUGCGUAGAUAUUAGGAGGAACACCAGUGGCGAAGGCGGCUUACUGGACUGUAACUGACGUUGAGGCUCGAAAGCGUGGGGAGCAAACAGGAUUAGAUACCCCAGUAGUC